RNAcentral lists this ribosomal RNA (474 nucleotides) under uncultured bacterium. RNAcentral describes it as "bacterial SSU rRNA". It matches the Rfam family "Bacterial small subunit ribosomal RNA", at positions 8 to 474 of the family's 1533-position model. The record is from RNAcentral.
AGAGUUUGAUCAUGGCUCAGAUUGAACGCUGGCGGCAUGCUUAAUACAUGCAAGUCGAACGGUAACAGAUUCUUCGGAAUGCUGACGAGUGGCGGACGGGUGAGUAAUACAUAGGAAUCUGCCCAUGUAGUGGGGGACAACUUGGGGAAACUCAAGCUAAUACCGCAUAAUUCCUACGGGAUAAGGAGGGCCACUGCUUGCAAGCUCUUGCUACUGGAUGAGCCUAUGUCGGAUUAGUUAGUUGGUAAGGUAAUGGCUUACCAAGACAGCGAUCCGUAGCUGGUUUGAGAGGAUGAUCAGCCACACUGGGACUGAGACACGGCCCAGACUCCUACGGGAGGCAGCAGUAGGGAGUAUUGGACAAUGGGCGCAAGCCUGAUCCAGCAAUGCCGCGUGUGUGAAGAAGGCCUGCGGGUUGUAAAGCACUUUCAAUUGGGAAGAAAGAUUAUGAGUUAAUACCUUAUAAUAUUGACG